GGAUUAUGCCCUGAAAUGGGGUGUGUGUGUGUGUGUGUGUGAUUUGUCCAGCAACUGGUAAUCCACUUAGAAUUCUCACCUAGUAACCUCUCCUGCCUGGAGGCAGUGUCCAAGAUGUCUUCUCUUUCCCUUCCCAGGCUCUCACCAUCCAGACCCUUCUUGGGUCUGUCCCCAAACUGCUGGUGGGAAGCUUCUUUGACCUGGAUGGACGAGUGAAUAUUCAUCUCCUGGAGCUCAUCCUUCCUAAACAACUCUGAAUCAGAAACUCAUAACAUAAAAUCAAUCGUUGAGCAUUU
Monodelphis domestica (gray short-tailed opossum) is the source of this 296-nucleotide long non-coding RNA. RefSeq lists it as uncharacterized. NCBI's taxonomy places the organism in Eukaryota, Metazoa, Chordata, Mammalia, Didelphimorphia, Didelphidae. The record is from RefSeq and is a predicted model, not a curated record.